Molecule: non-coding RNA, 2781 nt
Organism: Pelobates cultripes (western spadefoot toad)
Lineage: Eukaryota; Metazoa; Chordata; Amphibia; Anura; Pelobatidae
Source: the annotation of a GenBank genome assembly
GAACACGUCUCUUGUCUUCUUGACUGAUUCCCAGGAGCCAGUCUAACAAAGAGGGUGUGGCUCCGACAAAAUAUCCAUCUCACAAGAGGGUUUCGUGUACAGCUGAUUUUAUCCCCUACAAACUGGUGUCAGAAGUUUUUGGGGUGCAUUUGAACGGAAUGAAAAAGAUCAGGUAAGAGGGUUAGGUGUCUAUUUGACCUUUGUUCUUUUCUUUUUCUUUUUCCAUCCUUUAUACAUUGCAUAGAUACGUUUUUAUUCAAAGGGGAUUUUCACUUUUUAGGUUUUAAUAUGGUAUCACUCCUUGGGUAGGAGGAGAGCCUUUGUGUAUAAUUGUCUAUGGGAGACGUCCCUAGAUCCCUAUUUGAACGAGGUUGCCUUUGGCAGGUUGUAAAACAGAUUUUCAGUCUUUGGUGGACUGUGUUUUUAUAUAACGUACAUGUAAAUUUGGCAGGCUAAAAUGGUUUAGAAAAAAAAAAAAAAGACGGAAUUGUUUUAACUCUGUACUUGAUGGGUAUUUUGGCUGUCCUGCAACCUCUGUUUUGCAUGCGAUAUAUCUGUUGGCUUUUGUGGGGUUUUUUAUAUAACCGUGCAAGGGAUUGGAAUUUCUGGUUUUCAGCGAUACAGCUCGUGGAGAAGUAUCAGUUUUGUGGGAACUUUUGAUUCCAGACAGCUGUUCUUUAACCACCGAAUAAUCAGCUAUUCCAAAUCCAAUUCUCAUUGAGUUUGAAAUGGGUACUUCCCAGUCUAAAAAAUACCCUCGCACUAAUCCAGGGGAGACUUGCAAACAGUAUUUUGCUAGAAUUGGUGAACUGGGGAAUUAUUUAGUGGAUCCUUGGGUGGACAAUAUGUCAGGGUGGACACAAGGACAGGGUAGUUAAACUCCCUUCCCUAAAGACGGGGCUAAUGAUGAUUAUUUUCUGAGUUUGGUUAAGGGAUUAUGUUUGGGAGAUAAGAAAUCUUUUCCUUGGUAUGAGGGAGAUCCAGGAUGGGACAAGGAAUACAUGAGACAGGGGGGUGAGAAUUGGCUCACUGGUACCCUGUUUCCCCAGAGGGGAAAGGGAUAAAAAAGAAUAAAAAGAAUAUUAAAGAGAAUGUUGUUGAUACCUGCAAAUCACUGCCCCCUCCUAAUUACACUAAUUACUAUUGUAAACCAUUUCAUCUUUAUGCAAGGGACAACUGUAAAACCAUGGCUGCGGUCUGUGCUCAGGAACAUGGAGGUGGUAUGCGUCCUGUAGCAUUUUUCUCCAAAGUAGUCCCUGUUCCGGUUCAGGGGAUGCCGGCGUGUCUUAGGGCCCUGGCUGCUUGUGCAAUGGCUGUUGAGACUGAUACUACUAUCACUCUGGGCCAUCCCACUAUUCUCCAUACAUCACACCAAGUGUUACAUUUGAUCAAGAAUCUCACUACACAACACAUGACAGCACAAAGAUUAAGUGGUUAAGGCCCUGGGGAGAUAGCGCAGCUAAGCGGACAAGGGCACAUGUAGGAAUGUGGGGAUAGAUGCAUGGGAUUGGUUGGAAAAGAGAGCGUGUGGGUGGGAUUAUGUUCUGUGUAAGUUAGUGUGGGGGAGGUCUUACCUCAGUGCCACUUGGGAUUCGGACCAGCAAACAGCCUCCUGUCCUCCAGCUGCUGUUUGCCUGGGCCUGCAGAUUUACACAGCUUGAGGGAUGGAUGUUGAGGUGAUCCGGUUGUCCCUCGGGGCUGCUGCAGCGUCGAUGGUGGCCGGCACCUAAGGGAGCAAUUCCAGAGCAUUACUGGAGGUAUGGCUACCGGUGUGGGCACCCCCCGCGGCCUACCUCCCCCUGGAGCACCCCCUGCGGUCUCCCCUGCUGCCUCCCAUGUGGCCCAUGCCCCUGGGGGCCGCACCAGCACUGGCAGGCGUUCCCGCCCGCCUGCCAGGCUGUCACUGGAUCCUACUCCCCGGGCACGGUUGAGGAGCAGGAGCCUGGGACCAGGGCACCGCGGGUGCCGCGUGUCUGGGGCUCCAGGCACGCGGCCUACUACUGAGGGCCGGGAUUUGAGGCCUACUGCGGCCACGAGGCCUGCCACUGCCGCGCGGCCUGCUACCCCCAUGGCUGCCCGGCCGGCUACUUCCAGGCCGGGGAUGCGGCCGCCGUGCGGCAUUCUCAAGCUCCCCCCUCCACACCGUCCGCCCCGGCCGCCAGCCUGGGAUUGUGGGCCGGGGGCGGUGGGCGGCAGAUCCGGCGAUCUGUGCAGGUCCCUCGUACCUUGUACCGCCGUGGGGGUCUGGGAGGGUCCCCUUGCCCAUCGGGAGCCUCCUCUGCCAGUGAGGAAGGCUCCCAGGGCUCUGUCUCCCCUUCCCUCCCUGUUAGUGCUACUGUAUUUUCCUUUUCUUCUGGGGGGCCCAGCUUACACUUGCCUGGUCCCCCCUCCUCUUGCCCAGUUUUUCUCCCCUCUCUGGUGGGCCUGCACCCCCCCCUCACCUCUCUGGUGGGCCUGCAUCCCCCCCCUCCUGCUCUAAUCCUCCCCCCUCUCUAUCCCUCCCUACCUGCAUCCUCUCUGUUCUCCCCCCUCUCCUUUCCCCUCUAGCUUGCCUGAACCCCCCUCCCCACCCCCCCGCAGGUCACUUACCUCAGCCAUCUCCUCUGGGGCGUGGGCUGAUCUCUGCUGCUUCUUCCCAGGAUACUGCUGCAGUUCGUGGAUCCGUCCAGCAGGUGGCGUCUGGAUCACAGCUGAUGUCUUCUGUGGAUGCUGGAACUGCUGUUUCUUUGCCUCAGCCUUCUGUGAGCGCAGUGCCGGGCUUGGAUCACCAGGCUGCAACCG